RNAcentral lists this ribosomal RNA (798 nucleotides) under Endomychus biguttatus. RNAcentral's name for it is "SSU rRNA". It matches the Rfam family "Eukaryotic small subunit ribosomal RNA", at positions 135 to 876 of the family's 1831-position model. Lineage: Eukaryota; Metazoa; Arthropoda; Insecta; Coleoptera; Endomychidae. The record is from RNAcentral.
UUACUUGGAUAACUGUGGUAAUUCUAGAGCUAAUACAUGCAAACAGAGCUCCGACCGGAAACGGAAGGAGCGCUUUUAUUAGAUCAAAACCAAUCGGUGGCGGGCUCGCUCGUCAUCGUACAACUUGGUGACUCUGAAUAACUUUACGCUGAUCGCACGGUCUAGCACCGGCGACGCAUCUUUCAAAUGUCUGCCUUAUCAACUGUCGAUGGUAGGUUCUGCGCCUACCAUGGUUGUAACGGGUAACGGGGAAUCAGGGUUCGAUUCCGGAGAGGGAGCCUGAGAAACGGCUACCACAUCCAAGGAAGGCAGCAGGCGCGCAAAUUACCCACUCCCGGCACGGGGAGGUAGUGACGAAAAAUAACGAUACGGGACUCAUCCGAGGCCCCGUAAUCGGAAUGAGUACACUCUAAACCCUUUAACGAGGAUCAAUUGGAGGGCAAGUCUGGUGCCAGCAGCCGCGGUAAUUCCAGCUCCAAUAGCGUAUAUUAAAGUUGUUGCGGUUAAAAAGCUCGUAGUCGAAUCUGUGUCCCGCGCCGCCGGUUCAUCGUUCGCGGUGUCAACUGGCGUGCCGCGGGACGUCCUGCCGGUGGGCUUAGCUCGCAAGGGCGGCCCAACACAAUCCCGCCGCGGUGCUCUUUAUUGAGUGUCGAGGUGGGCCGGCACGUUUACUUUGAACAAAUUAGAGUGCUUAAAGCAGGCCAAAACUUCGCCUGAAUACUGUGUGCAUGGAAUAAUGGAAUAGGACCUCGUUUCUAUUUUGUUGGUUUUCGGAACCACGAGGUAAUGAUUAAUAGG